UUUGAAGAGAAGAAUUAGCCUUAUUCUGAUUUAGCAGCAGAGGUAAAAGAAAAGACUUCUGUAUUUUUGUCACCACUUACGUUGUCUGUAUUUAAAGAAUCAAAAAGCACACAUCAAAGGUGCAUUACCUUGGAAAGAGAUG
This is an unclassified non-coding RNA of Fukomys damarensis (Damara mole-rat), 142 nucleotides long. The record is from Ensembl. Lineage: Eukaryota; Metazoa; Chordata; Mammalia; Rodentia; Bathyergidae.